This 253-nucleotide ribosomal RNA is filed under the name uncultured bacterium. Its description in RNAcentral is "partial 16S ribosomal RNA". It matches the Rfam family "Bacterial small subunit ribosomal RNA", at positions 524 to 776 of the family's 1533-position model. The record is from RNAcentral.
UACGGGGGGGGCAAGCGUUGUUCGGAAUUACUGGGCGUAAAGGGUUUGUAGGUGGCUUGCUAAGUCAGACGUGAAAGCCCACAGCUUAACUGUGGGUCUGCGGUGGAUACGGGCAGACUAGAGGCAGGUAGGGGAGAACGGAAUUCCCGGUGUAGCGGUGAAAUGCGCAGAUAUCGGGAGGAACACCGGUGGCGAAGGCGGUUCUCUGGGCCUGUACUGACGCUGAGGAGCGAAAGCGUGGGGAGCGAACAGG